This 367-nucleotide long non-coding RNA is filed under the name Fukomys damarensis (Damara mole-rat). RNAcentral's name for it is "lncRNA (ENSFDAG00000022657.1)". The record is from RNAcentral. Lineage: Eukaryota; Metazoa; Chordata; Mammalia; Rodentia; Bathyergidae.
GUUCAUGUUAUAACAGGGGUGAAGCCUGAAAAUAUGCUACGUGGAAAAAAAAAAAGACACAAAAUGUCACGUGCUACAUGUUUCCAUUUCUGUGGAGGAAAAACCCUGAUCACGGGUCUAACUGUCCUCAGAGGUGAGCAGACCGAGGGGUGACGGGAAGCGAUGUCCCGGGGUCCCACCUGCAGGGCACAUGGGUGUGAGACGCGCUGGGCCUCGCCUCCACCCUUCUAGAAGCCCGAGGUCCUUCAUCUUUGCCAAGACAGAGGGGCAGCAGGGAAACAGGGCCUGUGACAGCCCCUUUUCUGUCCGCUCCUGGUUAGAGCCACUCCGAGGCCUGGAGAAGACUUCCGUCUGCACUCACUGCCCC